RNAcentral lists this ribosomal RNA (502 nucleotides) under uncultured bacterium. RNAcentral's name for it is "partial 16S ribosomal RNA". It matches the Rfam family "Bacterial small subunit ribosomal RNA", at positions 30 to 523 of the family's 1533-position model. The record is from RNAcentral.
AUUGAACGCUGGCGGCAGGCUUAACACAUGCAAGUCGAGCGGGGUGAUGGUGCUUGCACUAUCACUUAGCGGCGGACGGGUGAGUAAUGCUUAGGAAUCUGCCUAUUAGUGGGGGACAACAUCUCGAAAGGGAUGCUAAUACCGCAUACGUCCUACGGGAGAAAGCAGGGGAUCACUUGUGACCUUGCGCUAAUAGAUGAGCCUAAGUGGGAUUAGCUAGUUGGUGGGGUAAAGGCCUACCAGGCGACGAUCUGUAGCGGGUCUGAGAGGAUGAUCCGCCACACUGGGACUGAGACACGGCCCAGACUCCUACGGGAGGCAGCAGUGGGGAAUAUUGGACAAUGGGGGGAACCCUGAUCCAGCCAUGCCGCGUGUGUGAAGAAGGCCUUAUGGUUGUAAAGCACUUUAAGCGAGGAGGAGGCUCUUUUGGUUAAUACCCAAGAUGAGUGGACGUUACUCGCAGAAUAAGCACCGGCUAACUAUGUGCCAGCCGCCGCGGUAA